This 470-nucleotide ribosomal RNA is filed under the name uncultured bacterium. RNAcentral's name for it is "bacterial SSU rRNA". It matches the Rfam family "Bacterial small subunit ribosomal RNA", at positions 28 to 507 of the family's 1533-position model. The record is from RNAcentral.
GACGAACGCUGGCGGCGUGCCUAACACAUGCAAGUCGAACGGAGUUAUUGAGAAGCUUGCUUCGAUUUAACUUAGUGGCGGACGGGUGAGUAACGCGUGAGCAAUCUGGUUCAAAGAGGGGAAUAACGCAGGGAAACUUGUGCUAAUACCGCAUAAUGUACAGAGACCGCAUGGCCUUUGUACCAAAGGAGCAAUCCGCUUUGAAAUGAGCUCGCGUCCGAUUAGAUAGUUGGCGGGGUAACGGCCCACCAAGUCGACGAUCGGUAGCCGGACUGAGAGGUUGAUCGGCCACAUUGGGACUGAGAUACGGCCCAGACUCCUACGGGAGGCAGCAGUGGGGGAUAUUAGACAAUGGGGGAAACCCUGAUCUAGCAACGCCGCGUGAAGGAUGAAGGUUUUCGGAUUGUAAACUUCUUUGACGAGGGAAGAUAAUGACGGUACCUCGAGAACAAGCCACGGCUAACUACGUG